Molecule: ribosomal RNA, 497 nt
Filed under: uncultured bacterium
Lineage: Bacteria
Description: partial 16S ribosomal RNA
Rfam family: Bacterial small subunit ribosomal RNA
Source: RNAcentral
GAUGAACGCUGGCGGCGUGCCUAAUACAUGCAAGUCGAGCGAACAGAUGAGGAGCUUGCUCCUCUGACGUUAGCGGCGGACGGGUGAGUAACACGUGGAUAACCUACCUAUAAGACUGGGAUAACUUCGGGAAACCGGAGCUAAUACCGGAUAAUAUAUUGAACCGCAUGGUUCAAUAGUGAAAGACGGUUUUGCUGUCACUUAUAGAUGGAUCCGCGCCGCAUUAGCUAGUUGGUAAGGUAACGGCUUACCAAGGCAACGAUGCGUAGCCGACCUGAGAGGGUGUUCGGCCACACUGGGACUGAGACGCGGUCCAGACUCCUACAGGAGGCAGCAGUAGGGAAUCUUCCGCGAUGGGCGGAAUCCUGACGGAGCAACGCCGCGUGGGUGAUGAAGGGCUUCGGAUCGUAAAACUCUGUUAUUAGGGAAGAACAAAUGUGUAAGUAACUAUGCACGUCUUGACGGUACCUGAUCAGAAAGCCACGGCUAACUACGUG